Molecule: ribosomal RNA, 386 nt
Filed under: uncultured Halobacillus sp.
Lineage: Bacteria; Bacillati; Bacillota; Bacilli; Caryophanales; Bacillaceae
Description: bacterial SSU rRNA
Rfam family: Bacterial small subunit ribosomal RNA
Source: RNAcentral
GUGCCAGCCGCUGCGGUAAUACGUAGGGGCAAGCGUUGUCCGGAAUUAUUGGGCGUAAAGCGCGCGCAGGCGGUUCUUUAAGUCUGAUGUGAAAUCCCACGGCUCAACCGUGGAGGUGCAUUGGAAACUGGGGAACUUGAGGACAGAAGAGGAGAGUGGAAUUCCACGUGUAGCGGUGAAAUGCGUAGAUAUGUGGAGGAACACCAGUGGCGAAGGCGACUCUCUGGUCUGUCUCUGACGCUGAGGUGCGAAAGCGUGGUAGCAAACAGGAUUAGAUACCCUGGUAGUCCACGCUGUAAACGAUGAGUGCUAGGUGUUAGGGGCUUCCACCCUUAGUGCUGAAGUUACGCAUUAAGCACUCCGCCUGGGAGUACGGCCGCAAGGCU